Acanthopagrus latus (yellowfin seabream) is the source of this 1144-nucleotide long non-coding RNA. RefSeq lists it as uncharacterized. The transcript has 6 exons. The record is from RefSeq and is a predicted model, not a curated record. Lineage: Eukaryota; Metazoa; Chordata; Actinopteri; Spariformes; Sparidae.
AGCAGUGCAUCCUCCAAAAAGAAGUAAAAGGAGGCCGCAUUUGUGAGCUGCAUUUGGAGGGGCCUUCGAACUGGGACAGCCUUCGCGCGGCAUUGUGAUGUAAUUGGCCUUCAAACGCAGCCCUCGAAGGAUGCAGACCCUGAAUUGAGCCACAGCGACUGUCUUAAGUAUAGAGAGCGUCAAUUUCUCGUGAUAACGUCACAACAUUCAUUUCCCAAGCCUGCUGAUUCCAUGAUGAUUCACAUUAAGCUUUCACCAAACUAAUGAUGGCUCAGUCUGUUCUCCAUCAUGAACCGUGAGCCACACUGGGCAGGAUGGAAGAAACGCAUGAAGACCCGCUUCAUUUACAGGAUCUGCAUGUGCACAACAUGACAGUCGGACGCUUGGAUCAGGAGGCUAAGGACCAGGCGGUGAAGGCUGAAGCAACAGACCAGAAAGGUCUCCCACAGCCACUGCAGAACCUGCUCUAAAGCCUGGGUAGCCUGGCUUCAGAAAGAGAGUCAAAUCUCCUCCACUGGUGUAGCAGAUGGCUACGAACAUGAUAGCUCAGAGCAAGAGGGAGCUGGUGAUUACAGAGGAGCUUGACCCACAGGGCAUGGGUCUCACUGACCACAAGUUCGGCAUUACUGAAGUCGCUGGGCCUGAUUCUGUCAGUUUGUGCCGCUGAACACUCAAUGAACAUGAGCCCUGAGCUGCAGUCACACCUGCAAGCCAGAUCUUCCUAGAGCUUCUACCAAUUUCCAGGCUGCUGGAAACGAUCCGGCCUGACUGCAGCUUUCUGUCACCACCCCUGCCUGAUCUCAUCCAAUUUCCAGGCAAAGUAUUGUUCAUCUUGAGCAAGCCUAUAGUGUUAGCAGAUGGAAUUGAGACUUGAAGGUUAAGACUUGAAACUUGUGUGACUUACUCCCACCUCUUAUAUUUGUGGACAUGAGCUACUAUCUCUAAAGCCACAACCCAGAGAAGUAAUAUUUCUGAACUGUAGGAAUAACAUGUAUGAAUUCCUUAAUUGGUCAUAGUUCCCUGUUUGCAGUAAUGUAUUAUGAAAGACAUUGAACUGAUGCAUGUAUAAAACUGGUAUUGCUUCUGUUUGAUGACUGUUGAAGUAAUCUGAAUGUGAAAAAAAUAAAGACAUUCUAGCAAAAUA